GCAGACUCGACCACAGAAUUAGAUGUGCUGAAGGGGAAACGCAUGUGCAGGGUUCAGGGCAAGGAGCAGGAGCUGGCUGGAGUCUGAACCUUCAAAAGGAGAGAGAGAAGGGAGGGCGCUUGCACAGGAAGGCUCACUGCAGUGUGGAGUGGUUCUAACGACGUUUUAGCCGGGCUGUUUGCUUUCAGAGCAGCCACAGGAGCUGCAUCCUGCACAAGGGUGCUAAGACCCACCCGCUCAGCCACUGGCUCCUCCCGCCCCUUGACCCUUGGCAUUGCUUGCAUGGACUUUGCAGGAGGAGCCUCUGUAGGAGCCCUGGACAACUUCUUUUUCCUUUUCAGAAAGCCAGAAAACGAAUGAAGCCCAAACUCUCGCUCUUGUGCUGUCCAGAACCCCCAAGCCCAGCUUUACCUUGGCACCCCACCCUCAUCCUCUCUGCCCCCUACCCUGGCCCUUCACCCUAAUCAGGGGCACGGGAUCUGCUGCCACUGGAGUCCUGAUGCCUCCUCCUCUUGCAUUUGUCCCAGCCUGCCACUUGCCCAGGGUGUCUUCUCUUUCCCUUUAGUCCAAAUGAAAUCUGUUUGUUUUCGGGCCCAAGCCCACUCCCACUUCUUUAGUGUGAUUCAGCCCCCACCCAUGUCCCCAGUCCUGGGAUUUCUGCUUUAGACAGGGCAGUGCCACAACUUAGCACCUCAUUGUUCUCCAGCAGUUUCAGCUAUUGUGAUUCUGUUUCUUAAAUUAGAUUACAAAUUCCUUGAGGGUCAGGACAAUGACAAUGGCUCCCCUCCAUCCUUCUUUCCUUCUCUUCCUCCUUCCCUUCCUUCUGUUUAUCAAGUAGAAAUUGAUGUUUUCCAACUGGAUUGGCCACCUCCAAAGUCCUAACAGGGGUCCCCAGGUUGGCAGAGUUGCUUGUUUGGUGUUUUUGAUCUCCAAUUGGCCUGAGCUGGUUCUUUUCCUUCCUUCCUGGAUUCCUGUGACUUCCAGGGCCCCUUUUCCGGCCUCCCCAGAUUAACUCCUAUUCUUAGUGCCUUGUUUCUUAUGGAGGAACGAGUGACUCAGAAUAGCUCCAUAGGUGACUUCUCCCCAGGGAAAUUUUGACCAAGCCCCAAAGAGUAGACAUGAUCAAAUUCUAAAGACUGGGUCUUUAAAGCUUCCCCCUUGAGUUGCAAGGAGACCUCUCUGGGCCAUGGCCAGCCACUAGAGAUGCCCGUGCAGUGAGUUUGGUCCUUGAGGUCACAGAAUUAGAUCAAAUUCUAAUGAAUUUAAUGUGUGAAUUUUACACCUGAGCUAGAUACUGUACUGUACAAUUUAGUAGGCACUCACCAUCUAUGGCUUUUUAAAGUUAAAUAAAAUAAAUGGAGUCUUUCAGGACUACAUUUACGGGAGCCACAUUUUAAAUGCUCAAUAGCUGCCAGAAACGAAUUUUUUAAAAAGCAGGUGUGGGCUGGGCCUGGUGGCUCACGCCUGCAAUCCUAGCACUUUGGGAGGCCGAGACAGGUGGCUUGCCCAAGAUCAGGAGUUCAAGACCAGCCUGGCCAACAUGGUGAAACUCUGUCUCUACUUAAAAAAAAAAAAAAAAAAAAA
This is a long non-coding RNA of Macaca fascicularis (crab-eating macaque), 1584 nucleotides long. The record is from Ensembl. Lineage: Eukaryota; Metazoa; Chordata; Mammalia; Primates; Cercopithecidae.